UUAAGCCUGAGUGUAUUUGAUUGAGGUAAACUAGUUUUCAUCUACUUCCUACUUUUUCAACUAGAAAAUUCUGGACCCCCAUGGAGAAAGCACUUAUAAAUCAAAAAGGGAGAAAAGAGGUUUCAGAGGAGCUAUUCAAAGUGCUAUAUAUGAACCAAGGAAGGUAACAACUGCUUUGAAAAAGUCUUACUGUGCAUUACUCGGACACAUAGGCCUCUACUUCUGAAUAAUUGUUACAGUUAGGUACCAAAAUUGCAGCCGUCGUUUUAAAAAUAGGUAGAGAGUAGUGGGAAAAUAUUAAGAGCUCAGGGAAGCUUCCUCAAGGCUGCUUCCUUUUGCUGGAGCGCAGAGCAAAACAGAGGUGAGAGGAAAGCAGUGGAGCGCAAGGAAUUCCACACCCAGACCACAAGGCUCCCAUUGCUCUACAAAGGAGUAGGUAUUUCUAGUUCUUCUAAUCCUUUCUCUCACAUCUCUAGUCUAGCCCUGCAGUUUGGAAACAAGUCAUAUUGAGAGAGGGACAAAAAAUAUCAGGACAGCGAGCUUUACAGGAGCAGUCUCUAAUGUUGCUUCUCUCCCUCACAUACACCACCAGUAUCUGACAGUUUCACACUACUGCACAUCCCUGUAGAUGAUCAGUAGAUGUACUAACCUUUUUCUGGUCUCUUCAUCAAGAAAACUGCAAGAUUCCAUUCCAUGGAGAUUGGCACAGAUUUAUACACCUGGUCACAGGCACCUGGCACACCUCUGACACUGCUCCCACUACUGGAAAAAGAGGCAAAGGAUAUGUGUUUUACAUCCCCCCAGUGUCCAAUUCUGAGAAGUCAGAAUGAAGACAAAGUAAAAACAGCAUCUACUUCUUGCAAGCUACUUGACUUUCUUGGAAUGCAUCUUCAGCUUAUGAAAUGCUGGGAAAGCAUUUGGUGAUCAGGGCCUGGUUAGGUUAAGAAUGUAGAAUUAGAGCCUUUAAUCCCUGAGAUUUGAAAAUGUCGCUGAGACAGAAAAAAAUAAGAAUAGUAAAGAAUAAACUUGCUUCCCCCCUAAGCA
RNAcentral lists this long non-coding RNA (1044 nucleotides) under Coturnix japonica (Japanese quail). RNAcentral describes it as "lncRNA (ENSCJPG00005019298.1)". The record is from RNAcentral. Lineage: Eukaryota; Metazoa; Chordata; Aves; Galliformes; Phasianidae.